UUUAGCAACCAUAGCACAGCGGUACCACCUGAUCCCAUGCCGAACUCAGAAGUGAAACGUUGUAGCGCCGAUGGUAGUGUGGGGUCUCCCCAUGUGAGAGUAGGACAUUGCUAAAU
This is a non-coding RNA of Photobacterium iliopiscarium, 116 nucleotides long. NCBI's taxonomy places the organism in Bacteria, Pseudomonadati, Pseudomonadota, Gammaproteobacteria, Vibrionales, Vibrionaceae. The record is from Rfam.